AUGCCGGAGCUAGUAAAUAUAAACCAGUCGGCCUUCAUUAGAGGGAGAAGUAUACAUGAUAACUUCUUAUUGGUUAGACAGAUGGCGAGGAGGUUGCACAAGAGGAAGGUCAAAGGGGUGCUUCUCAAGCUCGACAUCACCAGAGCGUUCGACUCGCUGUCUUGGCCCUUUCUUUUUGAAGUGUUGAGAGCUAAGGGGUUCUCGGAGAGGUGGAGAUCUUGGGUGGCAACGUUGCUAUACACGGCUACUUCCAGAGUGCUGGUGAACGGUUGUGCGGGGGAGAAGUUUUCCCAUGCGUGCGGGCUCAGGCAGGGGGACUCGCUCUCGCCGCUUCUGUUUGUGAUUGCAAUGGAAGUGCUCACGGCUAUCAUCUGCAAGGCGCAUGAGGAUCAGGUGCUGGCGAAAAUCAACGGAUGUGGCCCGACGCAGCGGCUUUCGCUGUAUGCCGACGACGUGGUUCUUUUCGUCAAGCCAACGAGAUCGGACCUGGCUUUUGUGAAAGAGGUGCUCAACAUUUUUGGAGAAGCAUCAGGUCUGAGGGUGAACUUUGAGAAAUCUUCAGCGAUCUUGAUCUGA
RNAcentral lists this ribosomal RNA (576 nucleotides) under Triticum aestivum (bread wheat). RNAcentral describes it as "partial small subunit ribosomal RNA". The record is from RNAcentral. Lineage: Eukaryota; Viridiplantae; Streptophyta; Magnoliopsida; Poales; Poaceae.